UGAACACGGAAAUGGAAAUAUGCCCCCGG
This 29-nucleotide small RNA is filed under the name Bombyx mori (domestic silkworm). RNAcentral's name for it is "ovarian small RNA-30673". The record is from RNAcentral. Lineage: Eukaryota; Metazoa; Arthropoda; Insecta; Lepidoptera; Bombycidae.